RNAcentral lists this long non-coding RNA (1041 nucleotides) under Lonchura striata (white-rumped munia). Its description in RNAcentral is "domestica (Bengalese finch) lncRNA (ENSLSDG00000012366.1)". The record is from RNAcentral. Lineage: Eukaryota; Metazoa; Chordata; Aves; Passeriformes; Estrildidae.
AGCAGCAUGGAGCCUGCAGCGUCCCUUACCCCAAGCACCACACACUGCUUCCCGCAGGGCAAACCCUGUGCACGUCUCCAGAGAAUCAUACACUUUUGUGGGGGCUCUGCCUGAACAGCCUGCAAAUGCAAAAGGCUCAGCUGGAUGUAUUCACACACAGGGACAAGGAGCAGCUCCUCACUGCUGCACCAGCCUGGCCGCUUUUCACUCCACUAUUCCUCCUCCGCCAACCCGCAUCUCUUUUGUUCCUCCGUUCCUCAUUCCCACGUUUCUGUGCUGCCCUCCCACACAUCCCCUGCGCUACCCAACAGCCUGCCCUUCUACAGUCUUCUCCAAGUUUCCUUCUCAGCCAUCAAUUCUUUGGGAUUUUCUGCAGUCAGAGGAGCAGGAAUUGAAAUUGGAAAUACCAGCCCUGGGGCCCUCUCCCCUUAACAGUCUCUGGUACUGGUAUAGAGCUCACAGAAGACAGUACCAAGCCAAGGGGGGCAGCAUUCAUGCAUGCACUAGUCCCCAGCUUGGGGCCUUCUACUCUAUAACAGCAAUAAAAAACUGCCCAUUCAAGUCCUUUGUCUCAAAGAUUUCCAUCCUGGCUACAGCAAGUGCAGAUUUAUUGGUGGGAGCAAUUGCAGGAGGAAUAGUAAACAGCGUGCGCGUGCGUGCGGAUGCACCAGCGCAUCAGGGCCGUGCCUCCACCAGAAACUCAGCACAGCCAACAUUAAGUACGGGACUAAUAUAAAAUGGGUUCUCAUUUGGCACCUGAUCUCACGAGAUCCACAGCACAGUGAGAGCUGGUGGGGAGGCAGGGAUGGGCAGGGACCCAAGAGCUGGCCGGGUCUGAGGAGUCAGGCACGGCCUCACCACGCACAGGGAGGCACGGCGUGGCCUCCGCUGGCUCCCAGCCUGCUCACACGCAGGCUGAGCUGCACCUGUGUGCACCACUGCCUGCCUCACCGCUGCUGAAAGGCGCAGCACAAACCAGAGUACAACCCACACCAAGAGCCUGCCACGGGCAGCGCCCAGGCUCCCACCCCAAACCUCCCG